RNAcentral lists this ribosomal RNA (438 nucleotides) under Capnocytophaga granulosa. RNAcentral's name for it is "bacterial SSU rRNA". It matches the Rfam family "Bacterial small subunit ribosomal RNA", at positions 32 to 474 of the family's 1533-position model. Lineage: Bacteria; Pseudomonadati; Bacteroidota; Flavobacteriia; Flavobacteriales; Flavobacteriaceae. The record is from RNAcentral.
AACGCUAGCGGCAGGCCUAACACAUGCAAGUCGAGGGAGAAGCCCUUCGGGGCAGAAACCGGCGCACGGGUGCGUAACGCGUAUGCAACCUACCUUUCACAGGGGGAUAGCCCGAAGAAAUUUGGAUUAAUACCCCAUAAUAUUAUUGGAUGGCAUCAUUUGAUAAUUAAAAUUCGAUGGUGAAAGAUGGGCAUGCGUCCUAUUAGCUAGUUGGAGUGGUAACGGCACCCCAAGGCUACGAUAGGUAGGGGUCCUGAGAGGGAGAUCCCCCACACUGGUACUGAGACAGGGACCAGACUCCUACGGGAGGCAGCAGUGAGGAAUAUUGGUCAAUGGUCGGAAGACUGAACCAGCCAUGCCGCGUGCAGGAAGAAUGCCUUAUGGGUUGUAAACUGCUUUUAUAUGGGAAGAAUAAGGAGUACGUGUACUUUGAUGACG